UGGCUGGUAGCUCAAUGGUUAGAGCAUUGGCCUGCGCACCAAAAAGUCAAGGGUUUGAUUCCCAGUCAA
RNAcentral lists this transfer RNA (69 nucleotides) under Myotis brandtii (Brandt's bat). It matches the Rfam family "tRNA". Rfam says of the family: Transfer RNA (tRNA) molecules are approximately 80 nucleotides in length. Their secondary structure includes four short double-helical elements and three loops (D, anti-codon, and T loops). Further hydrogen bonds mediate the characteristic L-shaped molecular structure. tRNAs have two regions of fundamental functional importance: the anti-codon, which is responsible for specific mRNA codon recognition, and the 3' end, to which the tRNAs corresponding amino acid is attached (by aminoacyl-tRNA synthetases). tRNAs cope with the degeneracy of the genetic code in two manners: having more than one tRNA (with a specific anti-codon) for a particular amino acid; and 'wobble' base-pairing, i.e. permitting non-standard base-pairing at the 3rd anti-codon position. The record is from Rfam by way of RNAcentral. Lineage: Eukaryota; Metazoa; Chordata; Mammalia; Chiroptera; Vespertilionidae.